This 69-nucleotide transfer RNA is filed under the name Brachidontes mutabilis. RNAcentral's name for it is "tRNA-Gln". Lineage: Eukaryota; Metazoa; Mollusca; Bivalvia; Mytilida; Mytilidae. The record is from RNAcentral.
UGCAAGGCAGUAUGUGAUGUACAAUGGAUUUUGGAUCUAUGAGAAUAAGAAAAGGUCUUAUCUUUGCAC